RNAcentral lists this ribosomal RNA (468 nucleotides) under uncultured bacterium. RNAcentral's name for it is "partial 16S ribosomal RNA". It matches the Rfam family "Bacterial small subunit ribosomal RNA", at positions 28 to 507 of the family's 1533-position model. The record is from RNAcentral.
GACGAACGCUGGCGGCGUGCUUAACACAUGCAAGUCGAACGGAAAGGCCCUGCUUUUGUGGGGUGCUCGAGUGGCGAACGGGUGAGUAACACGUGAGUAACCUGCCCUUGACUUUGGGAUAACUUCAGGAAACUGGGGCUAAUACCGGAUAGGAGCUCCUGCUGCAUGGUGGGGGUUGGAAAGUUUCGGCGGUUGGGGAUGGACUCGCGGCUUAUCAGCUUGUUGGUGGGGUAGUGGCUUACCAAGGCUUUGACGGGUAGCCGGCCUGAGAGGGUGACCGGCCACCUUGGGACUGAGAUACGGCCCAGACUCCUACGGGAGGCAGCAGUGGGGAAUAUUGCACAAUGGGCGGAAGCCUGAUGCAGCAACGCCGCGUGCGGGAUGCCGGCCUUCGGGUUGUAAACCGCUUUCGCCUGUGACGAAGCGUGAGUGACGGUAAUUGGUAAAGAAGCACCGGCUAACUACGUG